AUUGAACGCUGGCGGCAGGCCUAACACAUGCAAGUCGAACGGUAACAGGAAGAAGCUUGCUUCUUUGCUGACGAGUGGCGGACGGGUGAGUAAUGUCUGGGAAACUGCCUGAUGGAGGGGGAUAACUACUGGAAACGGUAGCUAAUACCGCAUAACGUCGCAAGACCAAAGAGGGGGACCUUCGGGCCUCUUACCAUCGGAUGUGCCCAGAUGGGAUUAGCUAGUAGGUGGGGUAACGGCUCACCUAGGCGACGAUCCCUAGCUGGUCUGAGAGGAUGACCAGCCACACUGGAACUGAGACACGGUCCAGACUCCUACGGGAGGCAGCAGUGGGGAAUAUUGCACAAUGGGCGCAAGCCUGAUGCAGCCAUGCCGCGUGUAUGAAGAAGGCCUUCGGGUUGUAAAGUACUUUCAGCGGGGAGGAAGGGAGUAAAGUUAAUACCUUUACUCAUUGACGUUACCCGCAGAAGAAGCACCGGCUAACUCCGUG
This 490-nucleotide ribosomal RNA is filed under the name uncultured bacterium. Its description in RNAcentral is "partial 16S ribosomal RNA". It matches the Rfam family "Bacterial small subunit ribosomal RNA", at positions 30 to 507 of the family's 1533-position model. The record is from RNAcentral.